This 429-nucleotide ribosomal RNA is filed under the name Triticum aestivum (bread wheat). RNAcentral describes it as "partial small subunit ribosomal RNA". The record is from RNAcentral. Lineage: Eukaryota; Viridiplantae; Streptophyta; Magnoliopsida; Poales; Poaceae.
AUGCGCUCCAAGGCGGCGCCUUCAGAAAGAAUACGACGCCGGAGCGCCGCCACCGCCCGAUCCAAGGAUCAGAGUUUCCCCCGAAGCCGCAUGACGGGCAAUGAGAGCCGUGACGAAGCCUUCAAAAAGGGAACGAUCUUCGCCGCCGUCGGUCCGUCCAAAGAUAGAGCAGGUUUUCACCUCGGCCAACAUUCACCGCCACCGAACGCCACACCCCGGCAACCACGCCGCCCACACGACCAUGGUGACCGGGCAACACCAAGGCACAGGCUUUGUCCAAGAGCACCGCGCAACCACCACAACCAGGGCCGCCGCCCCAACAUCCAAGACCUCGACACCACCUCACCCGUGACCCGCCGCACCCCAACGAAAGAGACGAGCGGGAAGGUCCCACCUUUCGCGCCCCUGGGCAGCGUCGAGACCCAAUAG